AACGCAAAUUGCGCUCGAGGCUUCGGCCAAGAGCAUGUCUGCCUCAGCGUCGGGUUAAAACUCACACUACCCAACAGGGUAUGUUGUGGAACUGGCUGUCUCAGCAUAUGCACAUGUGCAUGCUCUGGGUCAGCUGAAGUGCAGAUGUCAACACAUGGACCCGCUAAUGGGCCUCUACUGGGUAGGCAAUUUAUUGCUACAUGCUUUAGUAGAUGGCUUAGGAUCUGUGACGUCGACACAAAACAGGAGCAUGCCUUGUGUGUGCUAUACAUGUACUUUUAUCUCGACCUGAGCUCAGGCAAGAUUACCCGCUGAACUUAA
This 321-nucleotide unclassified non-coding RNA is filed under the name uncultured fungus. RNAcentral's name for it is "partial contains 5.8S rRNA and ITS2". The record is from RNAcentral. Lineage: Eukaryota; Fungi.